Molecule: long non-coding RNA, 1523 nt
Organism: Pteropus alecto (black flying fox)
Lineage: Eukaryota; Metazoa; Chordata; Mammalia; Chiroptera; Pteropodidae
Exons: 2
Source: RefSeq, a predicted model, not a curated record
UUGUAAUUCUUUAACCCCAGUUAGUAUGCUUUUAAAACUGAGGUUGCACCUUCAGCUUUCAUGCAUUCUGCAUCUAAUACAUAGUAUUUGCUUAAGUGUUGAUUUUUGUUUUUAGUGUAGAACAGCAACAACAAUCAUUAUGUUUAUUAAAAUGAGUGUCCUGACCACUUGAAAUACAAAAAUCUGAAAAGCUGACUACUGUAAAGGUGGUGAUACUCCAUGUGUAUAGCUCAAUAUCCUGGAUGACCACAGGACCUCUAGGGUGUUGGACUUUUCUUCUGAGGACAGUUGGAAGCUUCUGCAGGGCAGGAAGCAGAGGAGUAAGUUGGUGACUUGCAUACAUCUGCCCGGCCGCUCUGCAGAGGAUGGACUGAAAGCCAUGGUUCCCAACCAGGGCGAGUUUUCCGCCAGGACACAUUUGGAAAGUUUGGAAACUUUUCAUUGUCACAACAUGGGGAGUUGAAGGAGGUAUUACUGACAUCUAGUGGCUAGAGGCCAGCAAUGCUUCUAAACGUCCUGCAAUGCACAGGACAGCCCCUCCUUGAGACUGUUUUAGGUAGCCCAAAGUGUCAGCGCAGAGACAGAAGCCCUGAAAACAGUAGCAGGGUCUCCAUGAAGAAAUACACCAGGAAGUGCUUUUUAAUUCCUACUUAUUGGGACUAUGGGGGCAAUCCCCUUUCUUCCUCCCACUCCUAAUUUUUUCAUUCAAGUUCAGAUCCCAGGUUCUCCCUUGGUUCAUCUUUAAACCUGAACUUUAUCCCUUCCCUGGAGGCAUUCAUUUUCCCCAAGAUGUAUCCCAACUCACUGCGAGUAAUGUGCCUUAGGCUGAGAAAGCAAAGAACAGACUUUUCUGAAGAUUUGAUGGGUGACGUUGGGAGAAAUGGGAGGAUCUUCACAACAGGAGGCUCCACCACCUGUCAACUCUGUGACCAUAAGCAAAUCACUUCACUGCUCCAGGCCUCAGAUCUCCCAUCUCUCGAGUGAAGAUAGUGUGUCCUCUGCAUUAUAUCCCUGAGUAUCUGCGACUUUCCUAAUGUUGCGUAUAUGCAAUAGUUUGUAACUGUACAACGCUGUGCAUGUGGAAGGGAUCAUUGCUGGUGUUGUAAGCACCCCCUAAACAGCUAUCCUCUCCAUCCUCAGGUCCCCCAAAGGCACUUAAGCAAAUGCGAUGUCGGGAGGACACUCGGGCCCAGUGCAUAACCAAGUGUAGGUGGUGGCAGCAAUCUUGGGUUCCCUCUUAGAAUGAGUGAUCACAACUAAAGGAUUCCCAGAGCACUGCAAACAAAGACAACAGACAAUACUAACCUCAAUUGCUCUGAAGGUAUUUUCUGAAAACAGGAAAAUCCAGCUUAAUGCCACUGCGAGAACUGAGUGUCUGGUUACCCCUCUCGGGAAUUGCUGUUUGCUCUGUUUUAAGGGAAGGUGGUAAGUGGAUGGGAUUGAAGCCACUGUACUCAACAGGAAACUUCUGGAUGAGGGUAGGGGUGAGAGGUGGGGCGAAUUAAACAUCACUUGGUUUUCAA